Drosophila melanogaster (fruit fly) is the source of this 319-nucleotide non-coding RNA. The record is from Ensembl. Lineage: Eukaryota; Metazoa; Arthropoda; Insecta; Diptera; Drosophilidae.
AGGCAUUAGGCCAGGCAGUGACAAAUAAACAGUGACAGGACGCAAACAAACAGACGAACAAUCGACAUGGGAUCGGGACGAGGAGCAAGAUGAAGCAGCGGCAGACGAGGACAAUUCGUCGUCAUCAGGAGCCUCAUUUUGGACUUAAUAUAAUACGCAGCGACGCGUCAAGGGACUGAAGAUGAGGAUGUGGAUGGAUGUGGCUCACUCUGUGGACUGCGGAGCUGGAAAGGCGUAGAAAUCAUUGCAGACAUAUGAAAUAUUAAAUAUGUAUGACCGCAAACUCACACAUAAACAUGCAGAAAGUAUGGUGUGCACU